CUUAAUGACACUCCGUAAAUAUUUAUAAAACUCAGUUUAUAAAAACAAGAUCCCAAUGCCUUAUUUUCUAAAAGUACUUGAACUUAAUAAAUCAUUUAUAUAACAUAAAUUAUCAAAUCAAAAACUUUUUUAAAAAUCACAUUUGAAUCAUAAAUAUUAAAUAAUAAUAUUUAUGAACCUACUCGUCGGAUUUGGUGGCCCUGAAAUGACUAUUUCUGACACCACUGAAAAACGGGCUGUUACAUCUUCAAUCUGAAUCACUUUCCAUACUCCCCGUGGUCUUCAAUCCUCUUAGUCUCUGCAACAUGCCAAAACCUUACAUCAGAAAUAUGGAUAAUAACUAAAAAAAUUAUUGCAUUGUAGGAAAUGUAAAAGAAAAGAAACCAAAUCAUAUGUUACCUUCUUAGAACUCUUCUUUUCCCUAAUUCAUAUCUUUCUUGGCACAUAUCAAUCAACCAUGCUCUAGGGCCCACCAGGUAUUAGGGGUGAGUAUUCGAUCAAGUUGAGUCGAAUCGAGUCGAAAAUUUUCAAGUUAGUCGAGUUGGCGAAUCCUAUUUUAGCAACCAAACUCAAUUUGAAUUUUUUCGAAUCGAAUAAAAAAAUUUCGAGUCAAGUUGAAUCGAGUUAACGAAUCCUAUUAUUUAUACUCAGUGGUGCAUUUACAUGGAUCGAUUAUUUAACUAGUAGAUGAAGUACAAGAUUAUUUAACUACAUAAACAAUAUAAUGGUUUUGCCUUUUAACUUUUAAAAGUUAAAAGUAAAAACCAUUAAGUAACAUUUAUCAAAAUGACUUUGUUUUGUCUUUUCUUAUUUGGAUUUUUGGAUAACUCAAAUUGUGUAAUUCAUAUUCGAGUUAAACCGAAAAACUUAAUUUUUUUAUUCGAGUUUUCCUAAUAACUUGAUUAACUCAAAUAACUCAAACUAUUUAAUUCAAAUUUUGAAUUUUUUAUCAAGUUUUUCGAAUCAAAUCGGAUUUUGUACACCCCUACCAACUACCACCACAACCUACCAAUACAUGUCAAAUUUACACAAAAAAUAUAUAUGAAGCUUGCAUAUAUGCUUCGAAUACAUCAAUGUUUACUUGCAAAACUAAACUAAACUAUACUUCAAUAAAACAAACCAAGUUGCUAUUUUUCGGUCUUAGUUUGACAAUAGUUGAAAGAGAGUAGAUAAGAGUUGUAUGAUUAGUUGUGAUGCUCAUGAACUUAUGUACACCAAGUUAAAAAAGUUAAACUAAAAACUACAACAAUCUAACUAGCAUUGAGCAAUGUGUAACCCUAUAUACAUGUUUGUAAUGAUUUCACGAUCAACAAAAAUACAAAAACAAAAAUUAAACUUUCCAAAAAAAGAAAAGCCCAAAUCAAAAGAAAAAUCCAAAGGGAAAUCAUUUAUGCACUAUAAAUGAAUAAAAUGAAACAUUACAACCUAACAGUUUUAACAAGACUUCAUAAACUCAUCCAGCACUUCAUAAAAUGACAGUUUCCAGUUUGCUAAGUUCAGGGUACUGAAUAUUUUAUAAUGCCAAUGAUUUGAGAUAUGAAACCAAUAAAUUUACAAAGACAUCAUACUAUAUAAAGCAACAAGAAUCAGCAAAUAGUGUUACUAGGAUCAACUUUGGGGAAGCUUCGAGGAUCAACUUUGUUCAUAAAAUAAAUUUUCUAACUAAGGUAAUUGUAGAGAGAUAACACCUCUUAUAAAGCAAAAGAAACAAUAAUAAUACAUUGAGAUUUAUACUAAUUAGUACAAAAUUUAUAAAGUAAUCGUGAAAGGAAAAGUAACAUGAUACUCACAAUUGUGCUCAAUCCAAUGGUUUGAUUUUCCAAAUCAUACAAAACCAGCUUGUUGGAAAGUACUAAAUCUGUAAGCAACAAAACAAAGUUCCAUAAAAAAUUCAAAUUACUCUAAUUUCAGCAAAUACUAUUGCAACUUACAGUCUAAUAAAAUCAAUGCUACAAGGUACACACUUAAGAUUUCCAUUUAGUAUUCACUUGGAUUUGAUGAUUAAAAUCUUUUUAAUCCAAGUUAUAAAAAUAACCAAUCAUUCAGGACAACCUAAAAAAACAUGUCUGAAAAAGGACAAUAGGACAUAAUAAAAAGGUAUUUUAAUGAUAAUUUAAAAGAAUAAUCAAUAAUAAGAGAAGACAUAAAUAUACCAUUAUUUUUAAUAAAACAUCAGUAUAAACCUUGUAGAGAAGCUACGACAAUAUUGUAGGCAAUUAUUAAAGUAUAUCUCAGGUAUCCAAAUUAAAGUUAUGAGUAUCACGACCAAAACAAUAUAGAUCUUAUAGAAAUUACAUCAAUAUACAAACUAUAACAAGAACAAAAACAUAUGUGGAAAGAAGUGCACCAAUGCAGUACUUUUGAAAUCAUAAUUUUCACCUUCCAAUUGAGCCUAUAAGGUGUGAAUUUCAUGAAAAAAAAAUUCUACAUUAGAAUAUGAAAAAUAGAAAAAAGUAGAGAAUUCAAUUAACUAAAGAAAGCCCUUUCUCAUUCUAUAUUCUCUUACAAUUGUUAGAAACCACAAUAUGUAUAUAUUGUUGAUAAAUAAGUCCAUUACUUUUAACAUUGAUUUUUACAUAUUUUUUGGAGCUAUUAUUGAUAAAUAAGCCCAUCACUUUUAAUCUAUUAUUUCCUUAUAAGCCAAUACUUAUUUUAAGGAGUCCAUUUUAUUUGUAGCGUCUAUAUCCAUUUUUAAUGAAUUUUAUUUGUAGCGUCUAUAUCCAUUUUUAAUGAACUAUCAAAAGCAAUUGGAACAACAGCAUAGUCCAUGGAGAAGACUUAUAAGAAGACAUGAAUCAUCCAUUGGUGUUGUAAUUGUGCCAAUAAGACCUGUAAGAAGACAUGAAUCAUCCAUUGGUGUUGUAAUUGUGCCAAUGAUAACCAUUCAAGACAGGCUAUUUUAUUGCAAACCAAAAUAUUUGCUUAAGGAUCACAAAAGCAAACUGAUUUUCAAUUGUAAUGGAAAUCAUACCAAAGAACCCAAAUUAAUCAAAUUCAUUAUAACACUUCAAAAACCAAAAGAAAUAUGAAAACCCCCAACAAGAAUCAAACAUAUCUUUUUUUUUGUUCAACAAAAAUUAAACAUAUUGGCAACAUUAGUAACCAAAUUCCUAAAUCAAGUUGUGUGAUCCAAUUAAAGAGUUAAAAGAAUGAUAGAUUAACCGAGCAAGAAUCAAAGAAAUUUCAAUUAAAGAAUCAAAGUCAAUCAACAUUUCUUCAAUCGAUGAACAUGAAACACAGAAAAUCAAAAUCAAAAUCAGAAAACAAAAACCUAUUAAGACAUACAUACCUUGUUAAUUCGACAAUCGGAGGUUAAUUGAUCAUUCAUUACAAAAAAAAACACAAUUCACCAUUUUUACAUAUCAAAUCUAACUAUAAAAUGAAUGGGAAACUAAUGAAAUCAUUUGCAGUUUUAUAACAAUGGGUCUUGAUUCUUGAAGUGAAAAUUACAUUUAAAAAAUGGUACCCAGAAAAAGGAAAAGAAACCCAGGAAUGUGAUGAGAAAACUUGAAGAAUAUGAGAGAAAAAGGGUAAAAAAAAGAAGAAGCUUAAACCAACAUGGGAUAUGGGUUGGUUGACAAGAAUCUUAAAAGAAAAGCAUAGUCCCCAUUUAUUUUUUGUGUUGAUGAAUAAAAAAGAAGAAAUUAAAGAAAAGAAUUUGGGGAUUUACUUAAUGAAUAAAAUGGGUAUCGAAGGGUGGAAACAAGCAUCAGCGAUGGAAGCAAAGUGGUCUAAGAUUCAAACAAAAAAUAAAAAAUACUAAGAAAAUGAACAAUAAAUUACCCGAUAAUGGAAGUAGAUUUUGCCUCUAACUUUGUUACUCACUGUAACAGGCGCAUCUAGAGAAAAUGAAGAAGGUAGAUGAAAAGAGACUUUUAUCUUCAAAAGUAGAAGGCUAUUACGGACAACAAAGAAUAGCCAAUUCAGAGCCCUAUUUACAGAAUGGUUAUUCAGUGCUCACCCAUAAUAGAGGCUUACAUGGAAUAAUGAUUCGGUAAUAAAAAAAUGAACCAAACAAAGAAAACACUAUUUAAAAUUGAAUAAGCAUUGAACUGAAUCCUUAUUC
RNAcentral lists this long non-coding RNA (4066 nucleotides) under Gossypium barbadense (sea-island cotton). Its description in RNAcentral is "long non-coding RNA (GBAR_LNC000561)". The record is from RNAcentral. Lineage: Eukaryota; Viridiplantae; Streptophyta; Magnoliopsida; Malvales; Malvaceae.